Molecule: ribosomal RNA, 443 nt
Filed under: uncultured bacterium
Lineage: Bacteria
Description: partial 16S ribosomal RNA
Rfam family: Bacterial small subunit ribosomal RNA
Source: RNAcentral
CCUACGGGAGACAGCAGUGGGGAAUAUUGGGCAAUGGGCGCAAGCCUGACCCAGCAACGCCGCGUGAAGGAAGAAGGCUUUCGGGUUGUAAACUUCUUUUCUGAGGGACGAAGAAAGUGACGGUACCUCAGGAAUAAGCCACGGCUAACUACGGGCCAGCACCCGCGUUAAUACGUAGGGGGCAAGCAUGAUCCGGAUUUAUUGGGUGUAAAGGGCGUGUAGGCGGGAAGUCAAGUCAGAUGUGAAAACUCAGGGCUCAACCCUGGGCCUGCAUUUGAAACUGUUUUUCUUGUGUGCUGGAGAGGCAAUCGGAAUUCCGUGUGGAGCGGUGAAAUGCGUAGAUAUACGGAGGAACAGCAGUGGCGAAGGCGGAUUGCUGGACAGUAACUGACGCUGAGGCGCGAAAGCGUGGGGAGCAAACAGGAUUAGAUACCCUGGUAGUC